CUCAGGCUCUAUGACAGCGCCUCUGGCUGUCUGGAAAGCGUGGGCCUCGGUCAUUGGGCACGAGCGGUCACGUGACAGCGGGUUCCUCCAGGCCAGCCCUGGUGGUUGAGUGAUGUAAUCACGCGGGGUCUGAAGUCUCCGUAGGUGUAGGUUUCUUGGUUAUGCUGAUGACAGGCAGUGCCCGAACUCUAGGCUGGGAGUUGUGCCAUGCUGCUGCUUUCGUGGGCUGACCAGAAAAGGGUAGAAGGAUUGACGUUUACGAAGUUUUUGAAUCAGGAGGCAAGGUCGCCUUGUGCCCCCAAAACGGUAGAAAAAGGCCUGGCAAACUGGAGAAUCGCGUCCUUACGGUGCCUACAUAUUUAUGGUAUCCUGUGUUUUCCAGUUGAAAGCUUGUGAAAAUUCGCUUUAUCCUUGAAAUACAGAAUUUUCACCAGGAUGUAUGAAGACCCUGUCCUCGAUGGAUCAGCUGGCACCACCCAGAUGGAUAAACUGGCUCAUCUGAUCUUGUGGCCCCCAUCCAGGAAGUGACUCAGUACAAGAAGACAGCUUCAACUCCCUAUGAUUUCAUCUCUGACCAAUCAGCACUCUCGGCUCACUGGCUUCUCCCAACCCACCAAUUUGUUCUUUUUUUUUUUUUGAGACCAAGUCUCGCCUGUCGCCCAGGCUGUAGUGCAGUGGUGUGAUCUCUGCUCACAGCAACCUCCGCCUCCUGGGUUCAAGGGAUUCUCCUGCCCCAGCCUCCCGAGUAGCUGGGAUUACAGGUGUGCGACUCCACGCCAGGCUAAUUUUUGCAUUUUUAGUAGAGACAGGGUUUCACCAUGUUGGUCAGGCUGGUCUCAAACUUCUGACCUCGUGACCCACCCGCCUCAGCCUCCCAAAGUGCUGGGAUUACAGGCGUGAGCCACCGCGCCCAGCCAAUUUGUUCUUAAAAACUCCGAUCCCUGAAUGCUUAGAGAGACUGAUUUGAGUAGUAAUAAAACUCUGGUCACCCACA
Molecule: long non-coding RNA, 994 nt
Organism: Symphalangus syndactylus (siamang)
Lineage: Eukaryota; Metazoa; Chordata; Mammalia; Primates; Hylobatidae
Source: RefSeq, a predicted model, not a curated record